RNAcentral lists this ribosomal RNA (798 nucleotides) under uncultured bacterium. RNAcentral's name for it is "bacterial SSU rRNA". It matches the Rfam family "Bacterial small subunit ribosomal RNA", at positions 102 to 916 of the family's 1533-position model. The record is from RNAcentral.
ACGGGUGAGUAACACGUGAGCAACCUGCCUUUCAGUGGGGGACAACAUUUGGAAACGAAUGCUAAUACCGCAUAAGACCACAGUGUCGCAUGGCACAGGGGUCAAAGGAUUUAUCCGCUGAAAGAUGGGCUCGCGUCCGAUUAGCUAGAUGGUGAGGUAACGGCCCACCAUGGCGACGAUCGGUAGCCGGACUGAGAGGUUGAACGGCCACAUUGGGACUGAGACACGGCCCAGACUCCUACGGGAGGCAGCAGUGGGGAAUAUUGCACAAUGGGGGAAACCCUGAUGCAGCGACGCCGCGUGGAGGAAGAAGGUCUUCGGAUUGUAAACUCCUGUCCCAGGGGACGAUAAUGACGGUACCCUGGGAGGAAGCACCGGCUAACUACGUGCCAGCAGCCGCGGUAAAACGUAGGGUGCAAGCGUUGUCCGGAAUUACUGGGUGUAAAGGGAGCGCAGGCGGAUUGGCAAGUUGGGAGUGAAAUCUAUGGGCUCAACCCAUAAAUUGCUUUCAAAACUGUCAGUCUUGAGUGGUGUAGAGGUAGGCGGAAUUCCCGGUGUAGCGGUGGAAUGCGUAGAUAUCGGGAGGAACACCAGUGGCGAAGGCGGCCUACUGGGCACUAACUGACGCUGAGGCUCGAAAGCAUGGGUAGCAAACAGGAUUAGAUACCCUGGUAGUCCAUGCCGUAAACGAUGAUUACUAGGUGUGGGAGGAUUGACCCCUUCCGUGCCGCAGUUAACACAAUAAGUAAUCCACCUGGGGAGUACGACCGCAAGGUUGAAACUCAAAUGAAUUGACGG